CGCCUGGGGAGUGCGGCCGCAAGGUUAAAACUCAAAUGAAUUGACGGGGGCCCGCACAAGCGGUGGAGCAUGUGGUUUAAUUCGACGCAACGCGAAGAACCUUACCUGGCCUUGACAUGCAGAGAACUUUCCAGAGAUGGAUUGGUGCCUUCGGGAACUCUGACACAGGUGCUGCAUGGCCGUCGUCAGCUCGUGUCGUGAGAUGUUGGGUUAAGUCCCGUAACGAGCGCAACCCCUAUCCCUAGUUGCUAGCAGUUCGGCUGAGAACUCUAGGGAGACUGCCGGUGACAAACCGGAGGAAGGUGGGGAUGACGUCAGGUCAUCAUGGCCCUUACGGCCAGGGCUACACACGUGCUACAAUGGUGCGCACAGAGGGCUGCAAACCCGCGAGGGGGAGCCAAUCUCACAAAACGCAUCGUAGUCCGGAUCGCAGUCUGCAACUCGACUGCGUGAAGUCGGAAUCGCUAGUAAUCGUGAAUCAGAAUGUCACGGUGAAUACGUUCCCGGGCCUUGUACACACCGCCCGUCACACCAUGGGAGUGGAUUGCACCAGAAGUGGUUAGUCUAACCUUCGGGAGGACGAUCACCACGGUGUGGUUCAUGACUGGGGUGAAGUCGUAACAAGGUAACCGUA
RNAcentral lists this ribosomal RNA (634 nucleotides) under uncultured Marinobacter sp. RNAcentral's name for it is "bacterial SSU rRNA". It matches the Rfam family "Bacterial small subunit ribosomal RNA", at positions 870 to 1504 of the family's 1533-position model. Lineage: Bacteria; Pseudomonadati; Pseudomonadota; Gammaproteobacteria; Pseudomonadales; Marinobacteraceae. The record is from RNAcentral.